CGCUCAAAAACUCGAAACAGAGAAGGCGCUGGUGGCAGCAACAAUUGCUGAAAAUGGCAGGAGAAAUUGAAAUAUUCAAAAUGGAGAAAAGCCAGGAUGCAAUGAAAAUCGAGGAGCUGAAGAGGAGCCUUGCCCACCUACAAAACCAUCUGGCUGAACCCUCAAUCCUGAAGCCCCCAGCAGGACACUCUGACUUGGAGAAAAACCUAAAAACUGAAACCAAGUACCUGAG
Molecule: non-coding RNA, 232 nt
Organism: Saimiri boliviensis boliviensis (Bolivian squirrel monkey)
Lineage: Eukaryota; Metazoa; Chordata; Mammalia; Primates; Cebidae
Source: RefSeq, a predicted model, not a curated record